GCCUCCAUGAGGUUGAGAGAGGGAUGUCCAUGCAGUAUGUUAUUUAGGUCUCAAAAAAUGCCUGAGUUACGGAUAGGGAAGCUGUGGCUCAGCCAGUAGCUGGGACGGGAGAGCCCAGAGACCUCUGCUGCCGUAGGGUCACAGUGCCCAGACCACCCGCCCCUGUGGAUCUCCAAGGUCCCUCCUCUCUCCGUCUUGGGGCCUUUUAACAAGAUGCUCCCCUGACUUCUGCUUUUCCUCCCUGGAAUUCCAGAAAGAAGCUCCUCUGUGUCAAGAUGGCAGUGGGCAAUGCCACUUUGCAUUUUGAGUGUGUUUCCCAAGUGAUGCUUCAUGGAAUGUUGUUUUGGGAGAGAAAAAAAGAUUCUGGACCCAAUAAGCUGGGGAAACACUGGAUCUGACAAAGUCAGACAGGCUUCUCUCUUGCGGGACUUCUCAGAGCCUUCAAGUGUCUACUUUGCUCUACUAAGAAGGAGCCCCGAUGUGCAGUGUUUCCCACACUUAUUUGAUACUGGUGCCAUUUUUCCUCCCGAAAUCUUUCCUAGGAAAAGUGGGACAUACUUUGGGCCAUGCAGGUUUUGAGGACACCUCAGGAAUUCUUGGACUUGAAAUGUCCAGUCACCCAGCAGAGAUGGUGACUGUGGAUAAAGAUGCUUCUUUUAUCAUGUCGAGUGGGAAAUUAUCCUUUCGACAUCGGAGGGAGUUGGCCAAUGGAGGUUCUCCGGUAUCAAGCAAGUGUGGAGAUCCGGCCACAGGAUUUGCCUUCUCUUCCUUGACACUGAAUGGAGAAGAGCUGGCAGGUGGACAGAACAAGGAGGUAAGAACAGACCUUGCUCGUCUCUCUAAUUUAUUUUGAAAAGAUGAGUCAUGAUUCGGUCAUCUGUGAACAAGAUUGGGCAAGAUCCAGGCAGUUGGGAAGUUGGACUUCACUCAUCAAGUUGGUGUGAAGUUCUGGAAAGGGCGAUCCCAGCUUCGGGAGAGAUCUGAUUCCAAGACCGGAUUUUGGGGUCCCAGAUUCCUGACACUAAACGCCACUGACCUGCUGGACCCCCUUCCUCCCAUCCACUCUGGCUCCUCCUUGCAUCUGCCUGGGCCCCAGGCCCGCUGGAUGGGCUUUCUGCAGGUGAUGUUGUCCGAGAGUCUAUGCCUCCUCAGAGGGAGUCCAGAUGUUCAGCCCACAACUCUUCCGGUCUGCAGCUUUCUUGGACGCCAGCCAGCCAAGAAGGAACCAUUCAAUUCGAGCCUGGGGAUAAGCCCAGACCUCUUGAAACUCAUUCACUCACUUGUUCAUUCAUUCAAUUACUUAUUAUUUCUAUCAGCGUUUGUGGACUCAAGCAAGAUCACACUCUAAGUCAGUGGUGCUCAAACUUGAAUGGGCAGCAUAGGGCCCUGCGGGGCUUAUUAAAACGCAGACCAUCGAUUUAGUAGGUCUGUGGCGGGGCCGAUCAUUUGCAUUUCUAACAAGUUUCCAGGUGAUGUUGCUGCUACGAGUCUGGGGACCACAAAGAGGGGAGAGGUCAAAGCUAUUAUCAGUGGGCUUCCCUGAAAUUUGACUCCGGUGCCCAGCGUGGAUGUCUGUGGUUUUUAAAAGGUGAAAAUGGCCCAUAACCCUGCUUCUGUGUCUCCACCAAAACCUGGCAAGAUGCGUAGCUUGGGGGAAGGUGGGCUCCAGGAUCCUGGUCCUAGACCAGAGUUGGGCUGGACUGGGGAGCCCCUUCCCCUCUCUGAGGUCCCCCCGACCCCUCUCCCCUGUUCCAGCUCACCUGCAGACCCCAGCAUCCCACGUUCUCCCGCUGUCCCUAGCAGCUCCUGUCCCCGACCCUCCUGCCCCAUCUCCUUCCUCCCAGCUCCUCUCCACGGCUAAGGCCCUGAUCUUCUGGGCCCUCCCCAUGAUGAGGCCCGUUGCCCAGUCCCCCUGGGGGC
Molecule: long non-coding RNA, 1920 nt
Organism: Physeter macrocephalus (sperm whale)
Lineage: Eukaryota; Metazoa; Chordata; Mammalia; Artiodactyla; Physeteridae
Exons: 3
Source: RefSeq, a predicted model, not a curated record